GAUGAACGCUGGCGGCGUGCCUAAUACAUGCAAGUCGAGCGAACAGACGAGGAGCUUGCUCCUCUGACGUUAGCGGCGGACGGGUGAGGAACACGUGGAUAACCUACCUAUAAGACUGGGAUAACUUCGGGAAACCGGAGCUAAUACCGGAUAAUAUAUUGAACCGCAUGGUUCAAUAGUGAAAAACGGUUUUGCUGUCACUUAUAGAUGGAUCCGCGCCGCAUUAGCUAGUUGGUAAGGUAACGGCUUACCAAGGCAACGAUGCGUAGCCGACCUGAGAGGGUGAUCGGCCACACUGGAACUGAGACACGGUCCAGACUCCUACGGGAGGCAGCAGUAGGGAAUCUUCCGCAAUGGGCGAAAGCCUGACGGAGCCACGCCGCGUGAGUGAUGAAGGUCUUCGGAUCGUAAAACUCUGUUAUUAGGGAAGAACAAAUGUGUAAGUAACUAUGCACGUCUUGACGGUACCUACUCAGAAAGCCACGGCUAACUACGUG
This 497-nucleotide ribosomal RNA is filed under the name uncultured bacterium. RNAcentral's name for it is "partial 16S ribosomal RNA". It matches the Rfam family "Bacterial small subunit ribosomal RNA", at positions 28 to 507 of the family's 1533-position model. The record is from RNAcentral.